AAACUUUCAACAACGGAUCUCUUGGUUCUGGCAUCGAUGAAGGACGCAGCGAAAUGCGAUAAGUAAUGUGAAUUGCAGAAUUCAGUGAAUCAUCGAAUCUUUGAACGCACAUUGCGCCCCUUGGUAUUCCGGGGGGCAUGCCUGUUCGAGCGUCAUUA
Molecule: ribosomal RNA, 158 nt
Filed under: Kellermania pseudoyuccigena
Lineage: Eukaryota; Fungi; Ascomycota; Dothideomycetes; Botryosphaeriales; Planistromellaceae
Description: 5.8S ribosomal RNA
Rfam family: 5.8S ribosomal RNA
About the family: 5.8S ribosomal RNA (5.8S rRNA) is a component of the large subunit of the eukaryotic ribosome.
Source: RNAcentral